AGGAGGAUCAGCCCCAGUGGCGGUGCAGCUCUGGAAACCUGGAUUCAGCUCCGGCAGGAACUCCGUCUGCAGGGCCUGGAGGCUCCGGGGCGGG
Molecule: microRNA precursor, 94 nt
Filed under: Canis lupus familiaris (dog)
Lineage: Eukaryota; Metazoa; Chordata; Mammalia; Carnivora; Canidae
Also listed under: 1 other name
Description: mir-8834 microRNA precursor family
Rfam family: mir-8834 microRNA precursor family
Source: Rfam by way of RNAcentral